AAUCGUACCCCAAACCGACACAGGUGGUCAGGUAGAGAAUACCAAGGCGCUUGAGAGAACUCGGGUGAAGGAACUAGGCAAAAUGGUGCCGUAACUUCGGGAGAAGGCACGCUGGUGUGUAGGUGAAGUCCCUGCGGAUGGAGCUGAGACCAGUCGAAGAUACCAGCUGGCUGCAACUGUUUAUUAAAAACACAGCACUGUGCAAACACGAAAGUGGACGUAUACGGUGUGACGCCUGCCCGGUGCCGGAAGGUUAAUUGAUGGGGUUAUCCGUAAGGAGAAGCUCUUGAUCGAAGCCCCGGUAAACGGCGGCCGUAACUAUAACGGUCCUAAGGUAGCGAAAUUCCUUGUCGGGUAAGUUCCGACCUGCACGAAUGGCGUAAUGAUGGCCAGGCUGUCUCCACCCGAGACUCAGUGAAAUUGAACUCGCUGUGAAGAUGCAGUGUACCCGCGGCAAGACGGAAAGACCCCGUGAACCUUUACUAUAGCUUGACACUGAACAUUGAGCCUUGAUGUGUAGGAUAGGUGGGAGGCUUUGAAGCGUGGACGCCAGUCUGCGUGGAGCCAACCUUGAAAUACCACCCUUUAAUGUUUGAUGUUCUAACGUUGGCCCCUUACCGGGGUUGCGGACAGUGUCUGGUGGGUAGUUUGACUGGGGCGGUCUCCUCCCAAAGCGUAACGGAGGAGCACGAAGGUUAGCUAAUCCUGGUCGGACAUCAGGAGGUUAGUGCAAUGGCAUAAGCUAGCUUGACUGCGAGCGUGACGGCGCGAGCAGGUGCGAAAGCAGGUCAUAGUGAUCCGGUGGUUCUGAAUGGAAGGGCCAUCGCUCAACGGAUAAAAGGUACUCCGGGGAUAACAGGCUGAUACCGCCCAAGAGUUCAUAUCGACGGCGGUGUUUGGCACCUCGAUGUCGGCUCAUCACAUCCUGGGGCUGAAGUAGGUCCCAAGGGUAUGGCUGUUCGCCAUUUAAAGUGGUACGCGAGCUGGGUUUAGAACGUCGUGAGACAGUUCGGUCCCUAUCUGCCGUGGGCGCUGGAGAAUUGAGGGGGGCUGCUCCUAGUACGAGAGGACCGGAGUGGACGCAUCACUGGUGUUCGGGUUGUCAUGCCAAUGGCACUGCCCGGUAGCUAAAUGCGGAAGAGAUAAGUGCUGAAAGCAUCUAAGCACGAAACUUGCCCCGAGAUGAGUUCUCCCUGAGACUUUAAGUCUCCUGAAGGAACGUUGAAGACGACGACGUUGAUAGGCCGGGUGUGUAAGCGCAGCGAUGCGUUGAGCUAACCGGUACUAAUGAACCGUGAGGCUUAACC
RNAcentral lists this ribosomal RNA (1307 nucleotides) under Klebsiella pneumoniae. RNAcentral's name for it is "bacterial LSU rRNA". It matches the Rfam family "Bacterial large subunit ribosomal RNA", at positions 1640 to 2925 of the family's 2925-position model. The record is from RNAcentral. Lineage: Bacteria; Pseudomonadati; Pseudomonadota; Gammaproteobacteria; Enterobacterales; Enterobacteriaceae.